RNAcentral lists this ribosomal RNA (429 nucleotides) under Gemmatimonadota bacterium. Its description in RNAcentral is "Gemmatimonadetes bacterium partial 16S ribosomal RNA". It matches the Rfam family "Bacterial small subunit ribosomal RNA", at positions 355 to 776 of the family's 1533-position model. The record is from RNAcentral. Lineage: Bacteria; Pseudomonadati; Gemmatimonadota.
UAGGGAAUCUUCGGCAAUGGACGAAAGUCUGACCGAGCAACGCCGCGUGAGUGAAGAAGGUUUUCGGAUCGUAAAACUCCGUUGUUAGAGAAGAACAAGGACGUUAGUAACUGAACGUCCCCUGACGGUAUCAAACCAGAAAGACAAGCCUAACUACGUGCCAGCAGCUGCGGUAAUACGUAGGUGGCAAGCGUUGUCCGGAUUUAUUGGGCGUAAAGCGAGCGGAGGCGGUUUCUUAAGUCUGAUGUGAAAGCCCCCGGCUCAACCGGGGAGGGUCAGUGGAAACUGUGAGACUGGAGUGCAGAAGAGGGGAGUGGAAUUGCAUGUGUAGCGGUGAGAUGCGUAGAUAUAGAGAAGAACAGCAGUGGCGAAGGCGGCUCGCUGGUCUGUUACUGACGCUGAGGCUCGGAAGCGUGGGGAGCAAACAGG